GAAGCUGCAGCUAGCUCCCAGCCCUGCAGACCCUAGAGUUCUGUCUCUGCUCAGUGCCCCCUUGGGCUCCGGUGGCUUUACUCUCCUGCAUGCAGCAGCUGCAGCUGGAAGAGGCUCAGUGGUUCGUCUGCUGCUGGAAGCAGGUGCCGACCCCAUUGUGCAGUGAGUAAAGGUCCCCAUCCUGAGUCAUUUUGGGUAUAGAGAGGAUAAUUUGGAGGUUAAAGUUGGCAUUGGCUACUUGACAAUAUUCCCUUGGUCUGGUUGGGUGAUGUUGGGAAAGGCAAGAGGCAAGUUAAACCCAUUUUUGGAGUUUUUGCACCUAGGGACUCACGGGCCCGGCCACCUUAUACUGUUGCGGCUGACAAAUCAACACGUAAUGAGUUCCGAAGGUUCAUGGAGAAGAACCCAGAUGCCUACGAUUACAACAAGGCUCAGGUGCCAGGACCAUUGACACCAGAAAUGGAGGCACGGCAGGCUACACGGAAAAGGGAGCAGAAGGCAGCCCGGCGGCAACGGGAGGAACGGCAGC
Molecule: small RNA, 529 nt
Filed under: Pongo abelii (Sumatran orangutan)
Lineage: Eukaryota; Metazoa; Chordata; Mammalia; Primates; Hominidae
Description: retained intron
Source: RNAcentral